CAGUGUUGCAUGGUGUCGUCAGCUCGUGUCGUGAGAUGUUGGGUUAAGUCCCGCAACGAGCGCAACCCUCAUCCUUAGUUGCCAUCAGGUAAUGCUGGGUACUUUAAGGAAACUGCCAGUGAUAAGCUGGAGGAAGGUGGGGAUGAUGUCAAGUCAUCAUGGCCUUUAUGGGGUGGGCUACACACGUGCUACAAUGGUGUCUACAAUGGGUUGCAAGGUGCGCAAGCUUAAGCUAAUCCCUAAAAGACAUCUCAGUUCGGAUUGUACUCUGCAACUCGAGUACAUGAAGUUGGAAUCGCUAGUAAUCGUGGAUCAGCAUGCCACGGUGAAUACGUUCUCGAGUCUUGUACACACUGCCCGUCACGCCAUGGGAAUUG
Molecule: ribosomal RNA, 377 nt
Filed under: Wolbachia endosymbiont of Aleurocanthus camelliae
Lineage: Bacteria; Pseudomonadati; Pseudomonadota; Alphaproteobacteria; Rickettsiales; Anaplasmataceae
Description: bacterial SSU rRNA
Rfam family: Bacterial small subunit ribosomal RNA
Source: RNAcentral